ACGACCUUACUUGAACAGGAUCUGUUCUAUAGGCUCGUACCACCUUAUCCUUAUAUUCUAAGGAGACAGGAUUCCAAGUCUGGUUGAUGAAGCAUGGCCAUGUGACCAGAGCGUGAUUAACAGUCAUCAUCCAUGGCUCCUAGAGUCGUGGUUGCGGUAGAUGAUAAAUCUUAGACCUGAUUUUCAGGCUUAAGAUGGUCUCAUGGUUGUCUGACAGACU
Solanum lycopersicum (tomato) is the source of this 220-nucleotide non-coding RNA. The record is from Rfam. Lineage: Eukaryota; Viridiplantae; Streptophyta; Magnoliopsida; Solanales; Solanaceae.